This 372-nucleotide ribosomal RNA is filed under the name uncultured organism. Its description in RNAcentral is "bacterial SSU rRNA". It matches the Rfam family "Bacterial small subunit ribosomal RNA", at positions 526 to 896 of the family's 1533-position model. The record is from RNAcentral.
CGGAGGGGGCUAGCGUUAUUCGGAAUCAUUGGGCGUAAAGGGCGCGUAGGCGGCGCGGUAAGUCAAAGGUGAAAUCCCUCGGCUCAACUGAGGAACUGCCUUUGAAACUGUCGUGCUUGAGUCCGGGAGGGGGUAGCGGAAUUCCCAGUGUAGCGGUGAAAUGCGUAGAUAUUGGGAGGAACACCAGUGGCGAAGGCGGCUACCUGGACCGGUACUGACGCUGAUGCGCGAAAGCGUGGGGAGCAAACAGGAUUAGAUACCCUGGUAGUCCACGCUGUAAACGAUGGGUGCUCGGUGUCGCGGGUAUCGACCCCUGCGGUGCCUUAGCUAACGCGUUAAGCACCCCGCCUGGGGAGUACGGUCGCAAGGCUG